AAUACCCAUUUUUUUUAAGAGAUGAAUAAAAAAGCUGAAAAUGUUUGAUCUCUCUCUCUCGAUUCCUCAUUUUUUCCUAUAGAAUUUUACUGGGAAGCUGAGGAAUUCACUCUGAACCGUUUCAAUUAACCCUAAUUUCUACUGGCGAACAUGUGCCGCGGACUAGAUGCGUUACAUUGUUGAGAUGGACAGUUUCUUUGAAGUUUUGGUCGUAGCUUACCUGAAAGCAACCCCAUUGAGAAAGGGCUGAUCGGAGCUUUGCGCGUUCCGGUGUCGAGGAAGAGAGGAGUGAAAAAUCAAUAAGCAGAUUGUCCCUCCACAAAUCAGGGGCGUCAAUGGCUUCAGGGAAACCAUCUUUCUGGAGAUUGUUUAACAACUUCAUUGAGAGAGAGCAGAUCGUAUUUUUCAAGCUCCGGAGUUGAGGAAGAAGAGAAGAGAUAUUUCAGUAGGCAUAUUAUGUGGAGGGACAUUACUGGCUUCAGGGAAGUCAUCUUUGUAGAGGUUAAAAUCUUGAUGUAUUAAUUCGUAGAAAGAAAGGGGGAUUACCUGAAAGCAACCCCAUUGGGAAAGAGCUGAUCGGAGCUUUGCGAGUUCAGUUGCUGAAUAAGAAGAGAGGAGGGAAAAAUCAAUGAGCAACUUACCUCUCCACAAAUCAGGGGCAUCAAUGGCUUCAGGGAAACCAUCUUUGCGGAGGUGAAACAAAUAAAAAUGAUGACGAAAACCCAAGCUGUGCGUUAGGCGGAUGAUUUUAUUAGACCACAAAAUAUUUACAAAGUGGACAAGAUUUUGUCACUCAAAAGACUCAAACAAUAAUUAUUUUAGGAUAUGUCACUAGCACACCAAAAGAUUAUGAUGAUUUCACUUUUUAGGUAAUAACUAACGGGGUUUUUAAGAGCGCGGUGCACAUGGUGAAUUCGUGCUAGGGUCAGAAUAUCCGUGGUGAUGAAAUGAGUAUAGAGAGAAACUCUACAGGAAAUGAGUGUAGAGAGAAACUCUAUGAAAGUUUUAGGCAAGGGUUAAGAGUUUCUUAUUUUGUGUUUUCCAUCAUAAAAGAUACCAAUAUGACUUCAUUGCCGUACCAUUAACUCUUCAUAAGUUCUAUAAUUCUAUGUGGAAUACAAACAAGGAACAAAAGAAAAAAAAUGUAGCGGGAGUCCAUAUUGGUUAUUGGACAUUGUUGUUACAAACGUCUCUCGGCGAUGAAGUUUUGAUAUUUUGUUAGUGAAAAUUAUGAAAACGCGAUCCUAAUUUAUUUUUAUAAAGAUUAAUAACAUGCUUGUUUUAUUAUUAUUAUUGUUGUUUUAUUUUUUUAUCAAUGUGCAUUUUCACCAAAUUAAAGUACUUCAUUGUUGAUAUUUAUUGUGGAGAAAUUACUGUUUCUUUAGUCUAGCCUUCAUGUCUUUGCUAUCUAUGUUUGAACUCUUAAAAUUUCAUUGCAUAGAGUUUGAUCACUUGAUCGUGUUUGUUAUUUGUUUUACUCACAUUCAAUAAUCAUAACAUGAAAUUGAUUAUCUUUCAUUUUAAAAAAACAGAAGAUCUACAUUGAAGAUUUAGAUAUCAGAUUGUAUUGUUUGAUGGGAUUCUGUGACACGACAUCUUGGCCUUUAACUUGUAGAUAAGAUAUUGUGUUGUUCACCUGCUCAGUUUCUUUGUCUGGCUAACUAACACAUUAUUGCUUAUCAGUUAUCAGUCAAGAAUAUUGAUGCCAUAGUUUCUUGAUAUGUGUAGAUGAUGUUAAGAAACACGUAUUUUUCUUUAGUGGAGAUAAUAUGACAAACUUUGUCACUAGGAAGCUUUAUUUCACUUCAGGUGCCCACGUUAUUUCUCUAGGAAUGCUUGACAUGGGUAUAAACACAUGACACUUCAGUUUGAACCAAGAACAUGGGAAUUUUUCAUUAAAUAUGCUAGUUUCACAUUUGGAUCCCAUACCCAGUCUGAUGUCAAUACCGAAUGUGAGUAACAUAGAGUACAAAUAUACUAUUCUAAUUAAACUCAAAAGAACAUUUGUUUAGAGUGCAACUAUCUCGUAAUAUAAGCAAGUUUCUCUUAUGAAAGAGUAGAUACUAAACUUGGAUUGCAGAAACAGUUUUGGACCCUAGGCUAUAGCCCUCGAAUAUUUUUGCCAAAAAUCAUUCAUGUUAAACUUCUUGUAAAACUGAGGCUGAUGGGCAGCAACCAGUUCGCUUAGGGGUCCAACUUCCUCAUCACCUGGGAAGAAAAACAAAGCAGAAUUCGUGCCCACCCGUGUGCAACAUGCUCUUAAACAAUCCGUUAGUUAUUACCUGCAAAGUGAAAUAAUCACAACCUUUUGAUUUUGAUAGAGAUAGAAAUCUCUUAGGAUAUUUGCCUUAGAAUAUUUGAUGUAUAUUAGACAUUAUAUUAGUGUCCCUAAUUCAAUCAAGACUAUUGUUGUAAUCCCUAUAUAUUUGAUCAAUGGAAUACACUCCAAUUCAAGGAGUUUACUACAAUCUAGCAUGGUAUCACAACUAAGGUUGUAGACCACAUUUCCACAAAAAUAUAGUUCUUUUUUUUUCCUAGGCCUUGUACGCCUCCGCCUAUUGCUCGUGAUCUUCCCCUUCGCAACAGCCUGCGUGCCAUCAACCUCGUCCCCUCCGGCAAUCUACUCGGCUCCCGCCUACCGCCAGUAUCACUACCGUGCGCCAUGACUAACUACGAGAUCCCAAAAGAAGAUCCACCUACUCCUCCACCACCGAGCUCCACCGACUUUCACCCUGCCCUUGGAGUUAAUAAUAUCAAGAACGCAAUCCCGUUAAUUCUUGAUCGUAAGGAAGUAGAGUGCAAGCAAUAUUGAUGAUUUAAACAUAAAACCCACUGAUUUCGUCGUCCGAUGGAUUCUCUUUCUAAUCGUGGUUGAGACUUGAGAGCAUACCUGAAUGCAACCCCAGUUGGAGAGGAGCGCUGAUCGAGGCUGGAGUUUGCGAGUUCAGCUCCAGAAGCUACUGUCUUGGGAGAAAGAAGGGAAGGGUCAAUCAUCUAACUAUCCCUUUACAAGUCCAAAAGGGCACAAAUAAAGAUUUAAGCCAUCUCUUUGUGCAGUCGGAGAAAGAGAUAGAGCGAGAGAACGAAAGCAUAUCAUACUUGAAAGCAACCCCAUUGGGAGAGAGCUGACCGGAGCUUUGCGAGUUCUGGUGCUGCUGAGGAAGAAGUGAGAAGAGAGCAAUCAAUGAGAAGAUCAUGUUUCCACAAAUCAGGGGCUUCAAUGGCUUCAGGGAAACAAUCUUUGGAGAGGUAUUUCUCUGGUAUUUCAUCACCCUUUUUAGCAAUCUCUUGAGCCAGCUUUGAUGCUAAUAAUUCUUGUUUGCUUAAUGGAGGAUCUUCUGCCAUUUUUGCAGUUAAGUAGAUAUUAAUGGCUAUAGCCCACACUCGCAUGCUAUCAUCAUAUAUAGGAGUAUUAUCAGUCUUUAUGAUUGGGGAGCUUCUUUCUGUGUCAUGUUCAAGCAUUAUUAUUAUUGUGGGAUUUUUUUAAAAUUAAAUACAUUUAGUGGCCUAUUAUAAUAAUUAUUUAUAAUUAUAAUGUUAGAGCAGGUAAAGCAUGUCAUGUAAUGGAUGGAUUUUAUGUUUUAUUUAUUUUACGUAUUAUUGUUUAA
This is a long non-coding RNA of Spinacia oleracea (spinach), 3608 nucleotides long. RefSeq lists it as uncharacterized. The record is from RefSeq and is a predicted model, not a curated record. The transcript has 8 exons. Lineage: Eukaryota; Viridiplantae; Streptophyta; Magnoliopsida; Caryophyllales; Amaranthaceae.